UGGGGUGUCGCCAAGUGGUAAGGCAACGGGUUUUGAUCCCGUCAUGCGUAGGUUCGAAUCCUACCACCCCAGCCA
Molecule: transfer RNA, 75 nt
Filed under: Marinobacter lutaoensis
Lineage: Bacteria; Pseudomonadati; Pseudomonadota; Gammaproteobacteria; Pseudomonadales; Marinobacteraceae
Also listed under: 3 other names
Description: tRNA-Gln
Rfam family: tRNA
About the family: Transfer RNA (tRNA) molecules are approximately 80 nucleotides in length. Their secondary structure includes four short double-helical elements and three loops (D, anti-codon, and T loops). Further hydrogen bonds mediate the characteristic L-shaped molecular structure. tRNAs have two regions of fundamental functional importance: the anti-codon, which is responsible for specific mRNA codon recognition, and the 3' end, to which the tRNAs corresponding amino acid is attached (by aminoacyl-tRNA synthetases). tRNAs cope with the degeneracy of the genetic code in two manners: having more than one tRNA (with a specific anti-codon) for a particular amino acid; and 'wobble' base-pairing, i.e. permitting non-standard base-pairing at the 3rd anti-codon position.
Source: RNAcentral